AGCCUCAACCCUCACAUUCUUA
This 22-nucleotide unclassified non-coding RNA is filed under the name Mus musculus (house mouse). RNAcentral's name for it is "oocyte_clustered_small_RNA11321". Lineage: Eukaryota; Metazoa; Chordata; Mammalia; Rodentia; Muridae. The record is from RNAcentral.